Equus caballus (horse) is the source of this 1638-nucleotide long non-coding RNA. The record is from Ensembl. NCBI's taxonomy places the organism in Eukaryota, Metazoa, Chordata, Mammalia, Perissodactyla, Equidae.
AGCAUGCAAAUGUAUAAUAUAAACAAUUCAUUAUAUUAAACAAAUUUGACAAUUGAGGACCUGAUUAUGAAUUUCAAAGACUGAAUGCUUAGAGAAAAAGUGCAUGAAUAAAAACCAUGAUGACAAUAAAUAAUAUAUAAUACUCUAGGAACAAUAAAAUGUCUGCAAACUUAAGAAUGUGAUUAGUGUUAGUAGAAAUGGCUUCAGGGCCAUGGUCAUCCAAAUUCUAUAUCCUGUCUGAGAAAUGUCCCUAAGGGAUCUAGUGUAAUACAUAGAAUUGUCUCCUACAUUACAUCUUUCUUAAAAGCUUGGAGACAUACUCUCAAUCAUAUCCAAACUUCCUUAUGUGUGUGACAUCUGUUAUCAUAUCCUUUCUAUAUAAAUUCAUAUUUUAUCCUGACUAAUGAGCUCCAUAAUUGAACUAGACUAUGCAAAAAUAGCACAUCUUCUUACUCAACCCCAAACUGCCAUUUCUGUUUGAUGAUUCUCUUACUUCAAGGUACACAGCAUACUUCAUUUUCCUUGAAUCCAAGCUAUUUGACUGCUGGAUACAUAGAAUAAUGCACAUUUAAUGAGGAGCCAGGCCUUAAGAAAUGAACAGCUUCCACUUGGCUUCUUGGAAAACUCCCUCUCAGAACCCAGCCACCAUUCAAUGAGACAAAGCCCAACUUGCCAGUCGUGUGAGUGAGCCAUCUUGGAAGUGGAUCCUCCAGUCGCCAGGCAAGCUGUCCCAGAAGAUGAUGACUGGAACAAAGGCAAACUGUCUCUACCAAGCCCUGCCCAUGUUGCAAAUUCAUGAGCAAUACACACGAUCAUGGAUUGCCAAAGGGAAAGAACCAAAAUUUAAGGAGACUAAGUCUGAUGGAAGGCCUGGAAAAUCCACAAACUGGACAACCAGUGUUGUGUCAUUGAGAUAUGAAGUAUAAUUAUCCUGAAAGUCAGUGUGUGAAGAAUUAAAAGGAGACAUUAUGGCAGUGCAUGUAUUUCAGAGAGCAUAAAUUUUCUGGAAAGACUUAGAAUCAAAGCUGUGUUCUAGUAUUGUCAAACUGCCUUUUAGAAGCAGGAUCGAGGACACUGGUCAUUGAAACUCAAGCUAUUAACAGGAUGACAUCCUCACUCUUACAAUGUCACAGAGCUAAAGUUUUGAUUCACGUCGUGUGCCAGAUACCGGGUCACAUGCUUUCACACACAUGUUUUGCGUGUUCGUUAUAUCGUUUUUUUAGGAUAUGGUGUCAUCUCAUUCUUUCAUGGAGAAGUGUUCUUCUUGCCUGGAAGAUUCCUUGCAUAAACAUGAAAAAUAUAAGAAGAGUGUAAACAUUUUCCAAACCAAGAUGGCAAUAUUUUUCAAUGUGGCGUUAAAGUUUUGUUUUGUCAGUUACUUGACUGUGACAACCAUUCUGCCAUCAAGGCACAUUUGAUCAUCAUUUUGAAAAUAGUAAUGAUCAUAAAUGACCAAACGACUUAGAAAUUUCUUUUAGAAAAUGUCACCCUAAAAAUCUCUCUAAUUGCAAAAUAAGAUACUCAAGAUGGUCUAUGAGACCCCUCAAGACACUAGUGGGAGAUGGGUUAAGGGCAGCAGCAAAAGUGGUAGUAAUAAUAGAAAGUUAAUGAUUUGUUUACAGGCAUAUGAAGUAAAUA